Non-coding RNA from Macaca mulatta (Rhesus monkey), 7037 nucleotides. NCBI's taxonomy places the organism in Eukaryota, Metazoa, Chordata, Mammalia, Primates, Cercopithecidae. The record is from RefSeq and is a predicted model, not a curated record.
UGGCCUCCCAAAGUGCUAGGAUUACAGGUAUGAGCCACCACGCCCAGCCUCCUGCACCUAUCUUUGUCCAGAUGCACAUAACUGUUAUCCUCUGCCUGUCCAGUAAUGUAUAUUAGGAUUGUGUUGGUAGAAGGGCUGAGGCAGGGCUUGCUUGUCUGACAUAAUGUAGAAGAGUCUUGGAACAUGUCCUGGGUCUAGGGUCUAAAACCCCUUGUGGCCUACGGAACACCAAGCUCUGUGCCAAAGGAUGGAAGGCUGCCCUGCUGCACUACAAUCUAAGCCCAGUGCAUAAAACCCCUUGUGGCUUGGAGAGCACCCAGGGCUCAGGGCAUAAGGCCCCUCAUAGCUUCUGGAAUGUGUCCAGACUCGCUGGCCCCUUGCUUCUUGCUCUCCCAAGAUCAUAAAUUAGUUGUAUCUUGAAUUAGAAGAAUCUGUUCUCCCUUAUCUCAAGUAGCAGAGCAUAUGCUAAAACAUCACAGCUACGCUUGAUGCACCGCUACCUUUCUACCCCCAUGUACUCACAUCCUCACCUGUCUACACCCACAUCUGCAUGUCCUCACCACCUGCUUCUUUGUUCGAUUAUCAAUAAAUAGUGUGGGCUUCCAGAGCUCACAGCCUUCGCAUCCUCCAUACUGGCAUUGGUCCCCUGGACCCACACUGUGUACUCUUAACUUGUCUUGUCUCAUUCCUUUGAUUCCGCCAGACUUCAUAACCUCCAUGACCUGGUGUUGGGUCUGAUCACCCCAACAUUUCUGGUGUGCCAAUGUGGGGCUAUGAAGACUCUGGUGAGGGAACGCUAGAGCAUGUGAAAGCAGGGGAUCCAUCGUCAGAGGACACCUGAGGACAACUGAAAGAAGCUUGGCGGGUAAGCUAGGUGCUCGGAAGAAUCAGGGUAACAAUGGGACAGAAUGAAAGCAAACAUUCUGCUUAUUUAAACUUUCUAAGGCACUUAUUAUGGAGAUGGGGAGCAAAAGUUAAUACUCAGAAUUUAUUAAAACUCUUUAGUACAGUAGAGCAGUUUUGCCCAUGGUUCCCAGAACAAGGGACUAUGGAGUUGGAUGAACGGGAAAGAAUUGGCAGAGAUUUUUAAAAGGCGUAUAAAGAAGGAGCCAAAAUUCCAGUUUCUGUUUGGUCGGUGUGGGCAUUGAUAAAGGCAGCUCCUGAGCCAUUUCAAACAGAUGAUUAGGCAGAUUCAGAUGAGGAAGAGGAAGAUGAGUGUAAAAAAAAACUAACUUCGGAUUCUGAAUGCAAGGAGCAAAAAUCGGAGAAAAUUAAAGAAAAGGGAAACUGAAAAAGGUAUGUUUUACUAGCCCGUUGGCUGUGCCUGCUGAAUUAAGUGAAUGGCCACCUCCUCCCCUUCCCCGUAAUGGGCGAGAAAAUGAAUUAGCUGUAAAACUAACUGCUCCUGUAGUUGCAACAUUAAAACCUGGAGUGAUUGUUGGUGCUAUACAAAAUUCUAUUCAAAAAGCUAGAGCUGAGGGAGACCCAGAAGCAUGGCAAUUUCUAGUUACUAUAACCUAGCAAGGAGGGCAAAAUAUAGCUAAUUGGGCCACUUUUCUUUUAAGCUAUUAAAGGAAUUUAAGCAAGCCGUUAGUCAAUAUGGGCCAAAUUCUCCUUUUGUACAAACGUUACUAAAAAAUAUGGCUCUUGAUAAUAGAUUAAUACCAUAUGACUGGGAUACUUUAACAACAUCUGUUCUCACUCCGUCUCACUACUUACAGUUUAAAACCUGGUGGGUUGAUAAAGCACAAACUCAGGCAAAGGAAAACACACCAGCACAGCCUCCUGUGCCUAUUUCUUUUGAACAGUUAAUGGGGGUCGGCCCUAAUUGGGAAUGAUUAGAAAAUCAGGCAGUGAUGGAGGAUGUUGGCAUUGCUCAGCUGUGCACCGUGUGCUUACGGGUGUGGGAGAGAAUAAAUGUUAUAGGAGAAAAAUAUCCUUCUUUCAGUUCUGUCCGACAAGGACCUAAAGAACCAUAUGCUGAUUUUAUUGCUUGGCUCCAGGAGGUUGUGCAUAAAGCUAUAACCGACAAAACAGCUCAGGAUGUUGUAAUACAGCCUCUUGCAUAUGAUGAUGCUAAUACAGAGUGUCAAAAUGCUAUUAGACCUGUGAGAGGGAAGGCUCAUUUGGCUGAAUAUAUUAAGGCUUGUGAUGGCAUUGGAGGUAACUUACAUAAGGCUACUCUUUUAGCUCAAGCUAUGGCUGGACUAAAGGUGGGGAGAAAUAUGCCCCAUUUCUCAGGCUCUUGUUUUAAUUGUGGGCAAUUUGGACACACAAAAAAGGAAUGUGGAAAAGGAAAUCAAAAGACAAAAACUAUUACCAUCAAUCAACAGAAAAGUCCCCACGUAUGCCCCCAAUGUAAGAAGGGCAAUCACUGGGCAAAUCAGUGUCAUUCUAAAUUUAGCAAAGAUGGGCAACCCCUUUCAGGAAACAGGAAGAGGAGACCACCUCGGGCCCCUCAACAAACUGAGGUGUAUCCGGCACAGUCAGUGCCCUUACAAACGUACAACAAUUGUCCCCCACCACAGCAGGCAGUGCUGCCGUAGAUCUCUGCAGCACAAUUUCUGUCUCUUUACUUCCUGGGGAGCCAUCAAAGAAGGUGCCCAUGGAAGUUCGGGGCCCUUUACCCUCAGGAACAGUUGGUCUAUUGCUUGGAAGGUCUAGCUUAAAUUUAAAAGGUGUCACUGUACCUGCAGGAGUAAUUGAUUCUGAUUAUGCCAGAGAGAUUCAACUAGCUAUUGGUUCCUCAACUCCAUGGUCUGCUUCCCCAGGAGAAAGAAUUGCUCAGUUGUUGCUGUUACCUUAUACAAAACUGGGAAGCAGCAGAGUAAAAAGAACAGGAGGAUUUGGUAGUACUAACCCAGCAGGAAAAGCUGUAUAUUGGGUUAAUCAAGUGUCUGAUAAGAGACCUAUUUAUACAGUAACCUUUCAGGGAAAGGACUUUGAAGGGCUAGUAGAUACUGGAGCUGAUGUUUCUAUUAUUGCUUUAAAUCAAUGGCCCCGACACUGGCCCAAACAAAAGGCAUCCGUUGGUAUUGUUGGAGUAGGGGCUGCUUCAGAAGUUUUUCAGAGUUCUUUAAUUUUACCAUGUCAAGGUUCGGAUGGCCAGGAAGGGAUAAUUCAACCUAUUAUUACACCUAUUCCUGUCAAUCUAUGGGGUAGAGACUUAUUGCAACAAUGGGGUGCUGAAAUAUCUAUUCCUAUGGACCAGUGUAGUAAUAACAGUAAACAAAUAAGAAAAAUGGGAUAUCUCCCAGGUAAGGGACUAGGAAAAAAUGAAAAUGGCCAACCAGAACCUUUAGAACUAAAAGGGCAAACAGAUUGAACCGGAUUAGGGUAUCAUUUUUAGGAGCGGCUGUUGCCGAGCCUCCGGCUCCCAUUCCUCUUGUUUGGCUAACUGCCAAACUGGUUUGGAUGGAGCAAUGACCACUGAAACAGGAAAAACUGGAGGCUUUAAAAGAAUUGGUGCAGGAACAAUUGCAAAAGGGACACGUAGAGCCUACUUUCUCUCCUUGGAAUUCUCCUGUGUUUGUUAUUAAGGAAAAUAUGUUAUGAAGGUAAAUGGAGAAUGUUUAACAGAUUUAAGGGCUGUUAAUGCUAUAAUUCAACCCAUGGGCAUGCUGACACCAGGGCUGCCCUCUCCAACUAUGAUUCCUAAAUACUGGCCUCUCAUAGUGAUAGAUAUAAAAGAUUGCUUCUUUACCAUUCCUUUAGUGAUCCAAGAUUAUGGAAAAUUAGCUUUUACUGUUCCCACUAUAAAUAACAAAAACCAGUGGAUAGAUACCAUUGGAAAAUAUUACCACAAGGCAUGUUAAAUAGCCUGACUAUUUGCCAAACUUAUGGCAGAAAAGCUAUUAAGCCAGUUAGAGAACAAUUUUUAAAAUGUUAUCCAUUGCAUGGAUGAUAUUCUGUGUGCAGCUGAAACUAGGGAGGAAUUAAUGCUAUGCUACAAACAGAAAAGGCUGUGACUGCAGCAGGAUUAAUCACAGCCCCCGAUAAAAUCCAAACUUCUACUGCCUUUCAAUAUUUAGGAAUGAAGGUAGAACAAAGUGCUAUUAAGCCUUAAAAGGUUCAAAUUUGAAGAGAUAAUUUAAAAACUUCAAAUGACUUUCAAAGAUUUUUAGGAGACAUUAAUUGGAUUCGUCCAACUUUAGGCAUUCCUACCUAUGCUAUGUCUCACAUUUUUUCUACCUUAUGAGGUGAUUCUAACUUAAACAGUAAAUGUGCCCUAUCCAAAGAGGCAUUAGAGGAACUUCAAUUAACUGAAGAAAAAAUUCAACAGGCACAAGUGAAGCAAACCCUAUGCAGCCAUUACAGUUUUUAGUUUUUCCUACUAAACAUUCACCUACAGGAAGUACUGUUCAACAAAAUGAUCUGGUUGAGUGGCUUUUUCUACCUCACAAUACAACUGAAAUGGUCACUCUGUACUUAGAUCAAAUUGCUGUACUAAUAGGACAAGCAAGGCUGCACACAACAAAGUUAAUAGGAUAUGAUCCAAAUCAAAUUAUAGUUCCAUUAAACAAACAACAAAUUCAGCAAGCUUACAUUAAUUCCCAGGAAUGGCAAGUUAAUUUGGCAGGGUUUUUGUUGGCAUUCUUGAUAAUCUUUAUACUAAAUCUAAGAUAUUUCAAUUUCCAAAAUUAACAUCCUGGAUAUCACUUUCUGUUACUCAAAAAGCCCCUAUUGAAGGGGCCAUUACUGUUUUUACUGACGAGUCUAGUAAUGGAAAAGCCUCACUUGUGGGACCUCAACAACAAGUUUUUCAAACUGACAUUGCUUCUGCUCAAAGGGCUGAACUUACAGCUGUAAUUACAGUACUGAAAACUUUUAAACAGCCAGUUAAUAUUGUUUCUGACUCAGCUUAUGUGGUGCAAGUCACACAAAAUAUUGAAAGUACUUAAUUCGUGAUGUGAUUGCUGAACAACUUAAUCUUUUAUUUCAUUCUUUACAACAAGCAGUACAACAAAGACAUUCCCCUUUCUAUAUUACUCAUAUAAAAGCACAUACUAACCUCCCUGGUCUUUUAACUAAACUUAAUCAAAGGGCAGAUGCACUGGUUUCUGCAGCUUUUGCUAAAUGACAAACAUUCCAUUCUUCAAUGCAUCUUAACGCUGCAGGCCUCAGAAAAAGAUAUGGCUUAUCCUGGAAGCAGGCUAAGGAGAUUGUAGAACACUGCUCUGCCUGUCAAGUCCUGCAUCUGCCACAUCAAGGAGCAGGAGUCAACUCUAGAGGUUUAUCUCCAAAUUCCAUGUGGCAGAUAGAUGUAACACACAUUCCCACUUUUGGAAAAUUGUUCUUUGUUCAUGUUUCAGUAGAUACUUAGUCACAUUUUAUCUGGGCCAUGUGUCAAACAGGGGAAGCUACAGCUCAUGUUAAAAGACGUCUUUUUUCUUGCUUUGCAGUUAUGGGAAUCCCAGAAAAAAUCAAAACUGAUAAUGGCCCAGGGUAUUGCAGGAAAGCCAUGGCUACAUUUUUUUUUAACACUGAAACAUUAUUCACACUACAGGUAUUCCAUAUAACUCACAAGGACAGGCAAUAGUUGAAAGAGCUAAUCAUACUUUAAAAACUCAAAUACAAAAAUAAAAAGAGAGAGAUCAGGAAUGUAAAACACCCCAUAUGCAAUUAUAUUUAGCUUUAUUAACAUUAAAUUUUUUUAAUUUACAAAGAGAUCAACCCAUGACAGCAGCUUAACAACACUUAACAGGACAAAAAGAAAAUAAAAAAGCUGGACAAGAUGUAUGGUGGAGGGAUGCACAUACAAAGAGUUGGGAAAAAAGAAAAAUAAUUACAUGGGGAAGAGGAUUUGCUUGUGUCUCUCCAGGUGACCAUCAGGUGCCUGUAUGGGUGCCCACCAAACAUCUGAAGAUCUAUCAUGACCCUCACCGGGAAGAGAGGACUCUAUGAAGAGCCAGAACUCCUGAUGCAAGUGAUAGCAUGAAUGAACUCUCAGAGACAAAGGAAAAGACCAAAAAUACUCCCAGGCAGAUCCUCCAACAUGGGGACAAAUCAAGAAACUGGUGCAGAUGGCAGAAGACAAUCUGAGAGCACAGAACAAACCAAAAACAACUAGUAACGUAACAGUGGCUAUGAUGGCAGUACUCACUGCGGCAGUAAGCCUCCCUACUUCUAUAGAUGCAGAAGCUGCCUCUGGAGAGAAAGCCGCCGCCAAGAACAAGCAACGAUAGCUGUGGCAGUUUUGCAGAACAAAAAAGGGAGACAUGUUGGUAGAAGGGCUGAGGCAGGGCUUGCUUGUCUGACAUAAUGUAGAAGAGCCUUGGAACAUAUCCUGGGUCCAGGGUCUAAAACCCUUUGUGGCCUAUGGAACACCAAGCUCUGUGCCAAAGAGUGGAAGACUGCCCUGCUGCACUACAAUCUAAGCCCAGUGCAUAAAACCCUUCGUGACUUGGAGAGCACCCAGGGCUCAGGGCAUAAAACCCAUCAUAGCCUCUGGAAAGUGUCCAGACUCGCUGGCCCCUUGCUUCUUGCUCUCCAAAGAUCAUAAACUGAUUGUAUCUUGAAUUAGAAGAAUCUGUUUUCCCUUAUCUCAAGUAGCAGAGCAUAUGCUAAACCGUCACAGCUACGCUUAAUGCACUGCUACCUUUCUACCCCCACAUCCUCACGUCCUCACCUGUCUACCCCCACGUCCACACCACCUGCUUCUUUGUUUGAUUACCAAUAAAUAGUGUGGGCUCCCAGAGCUCAGAGCCUUUGCAGCCUCCAUACUAGCAUUGGCCCCUUGGACCCACCCUACUACAUACUCUUGUCUCAUUCCUUUGACUCCGUUGGACUUCGUAGCCCCCACGAGCUGGUGUUGGGUUUGAUCACCCAAACAGAUUGUUGGAGGAAAUAACUUGUUUCUUUAGCUUCACAGGUCCACAAAUUAAAAGUGUGCCCCCAGGAGCUGCACUAAAUGAUUUGUAACAUCUGCACCUGAUUUAGAACAUUUAGAAGGAGCUGUUUCAGGACUCCUCCUCCCCCUCGCCCCAAUAACUUGAGUCUUUCCUAUGUCAUAAUAAAGCUACAUUUUCUUCUGAAAA